RNAcentral lists this ribosomal RNA (518 nucleotides) under uncultured bacterium. RNAcentral describes it as "bacterial SSU rRNA". It matches the Rfam family "Bacterial small subunit ribosomal RNA", at positions 791 to 1299 of the family's 1533-position model. The record is from RNAcentral.
UAGUCCUAGCCGUAAACGGUGCACAUUUGCUGUGGGCGGAUUCGACCCCGUCCGUGGCGUAGCUAACGCGAUAAAUGUGCCGCCUGGGGAGUACGGCCGCAAGGUUAAAACUCAAAGAAAUUGACGGGGGCCUGCACAAGCGGUGGAGUAUGUGGCUUAAUUCGAUGCAACGCGAAGAACCUUACCUGGCUUUGACAUGCAAGUGGUAGGAACCUGAAAGGGUAACGACCUCGCAAGAGGAGCUUGCACAGGUGCUGCAUGGCUGUCGUCAGCUCGUGUCGUGAGAUGUUGGGUUAAGUCCCGCAACGAGCGCAACCCUUGUGUCCUGUUGCCACUCCGGUUUCGGCCGGAAGCACUCUGGACAGACUGCCUCGCUUAAACGAGGAGGAAGGUGGGGAUGACGUCAAGUCAGUAUGGCCCUUACGGCCAGGGCUGCACACGUACUACAAUGCCCGGCACAGAGGGAAGCAAGACCGCAAGGUGGAGCUAAUCCCUAAAAACCGGGCCCAGUUCGGAUU